CCUACGGGUGGCAGCAGUGAGGAAUAUUGGUCAAUGGGCGCAAGCCUGAACCAGCCAAGUCGCGUGAGGGAUGACGGUCCUAUGGAUUGUAAACCUCUUUUGUCGGGGAGCAAGGCCCGCCACGUGUGGCGGGAAGGAGAGUACCCGAAGAAAAAGCAUCGGCUAACUCCGUGCCAGCAGCCGCGGUAAUACGGAGGAUGCGAGCGUUAUCCGGAUUUAUUGGGUUUAAAGGGUGCGUAGGCGGAAGGUUAAGUCAGCGGUCAAAUGUCGGUGCUCAACACCGGCCUGCCGUUGAAACUGGUCUUCUUGAGUGAGCGAGAAGUAUGCGGAAUGCGUGGUGUAGCGGUGAAAUGCGUAGAUAUUAGGAGGAACACCGGUGGCGAAGGCGGCUUACUGGACCGUAACUGACGUUGAGGCUCGAAAGCGUGGGGAGCAUACAGGAUUAGAUACCCUUGUAGUC
Molecule: ribosomal RNA, 460 nt
Filed under: uncultured bacterium
Lineage: Bacteria
Description: partial 16S ribosomal RNA
Rfam family: Bacterial small subunit ribosomal RNA
Source: RNAcentral